This 2035-nucleotide ribosomal RNA is filed under the name human gut metagenome. RNAcentral's name for it is "bacterial LSU rRNA". It matches the Rfam family "Bacterial large subunit ribosomal RNA", at positions 1 to 1977 of the family's 2925-position model. The record is from RNAcentral.
GCAAGAUACCACGGGCGCACGGCGGAUGCCUUGGCACAGGGAGCCGAUGAAGGACGCGGCAAGCUGCGAUAAUCCCCGGCGAGGAGCACACAUCCUUCGACCCGGGGGUCUCCGAAUGGGCGAACCCAUCCACAGCAGUGUGGAUAUCCCCGCCCCGAACGCAUAGGGGCGGGGAGGACAACCCGGGGAACUGAAACAUCUAAGUACCCGGAGGAGAGGAAAUCAAUCUCGAGACUCCCCGAGUAGCGGCGAGCGAAAGGGGACCGAUGGCCAAACCGUCGAGCGGGCGUACCCGGCAGGGGUUCCGCCGACGGGGUUGCAGGGCCGCGCAUCCGGGGGCUGCCGCCCCCGGGCGCAGGUCCGGCUGGGGAGCGGAACGGCAUGGGAGGGCCGGCCGCAGCGGGUGACAGCCCCGUACGCGAACCCAGACCGGACGGCGCGACGCGGUCCCUGAGUAGGGCCGGGCACGUGAAACCCGGUCCGAACCUGGGUGGACCACCAUCCAAGCCUGAGUACUACCCUGUGACCGAUAGCGCACCAGUACCGUGAGGGAAAGGUGAAAAGCACCCCGGGAGGGGAGUGAAACAGUACCUGAAACCGUGCGCCCACGAGCAGUCGGAGCACCUUUAUGGUGUGACGGCGUGCCUUUUGUAGAAUGAGCCAGCGAGUCGCUGGCGCGGGGCGAGGUUAACCGAAAGGGAGCCGGAGCGAAAGCGAGCCUUAACAGGGCGACUUGAGUCCCGCGCCGCGGACGCGAAGCCGGGUGAGCUAUCCGUGGGCAGGCUGAAGCGGGGGUAAGACCCCGUGGAGGGCCGAACGCACGUCGGUUGAAAACGGCGGCGAUGACCUGCGGAUAGGGGUGAAAGGCCAAUCAAACCCGGAGAUAUCUCGUUCUCCCCGAAAUAGCUUUAGGGCUAGCGUCGCGCGUUCACCGCCGGAGGUAGAGCACCGGAUGGACGAGGGGGCUUCGCCGCCUACCGAAUCCAACCGAACUCCGAAUGCCGGCGGCCCAGAGCGCGGCAGUCAGAGCAUGUGGGCUAAGCUGUGUGCUCGAGAGGGAAACAGCCCGGACCGCCCGCUAAGGUCCCCAAGUUCCAGCCGAGUGGCAAAGGAUGUGCGUCCGCCCAGACAACCAGGAUGUUGGCUUAGAAGCAGCCAUACAUUCAAAGAGUGCGUAACAGCUCACUGGUCGAGUGGACAUGCGCCGACAAUACACGGGGCUAAGCUGGACACCGAAGCGGCGGGAUUUUAAUUCAUUAGAAUCGGUAGGGGAGCUUCCCAUGGGCGGAGAAGCCGUCAGGGCGACCGACGGUGGAGCGCAUGGGAGUGAGAAUGCUGGCAUGAGUAGCGAGAGACGAGAGAGUAACUCGUCCGCCGUGAACCCGAGGUUUCCUGGGCAAGGCUAAUCCUCCCAGGGUCAGUCGGGGGCUAAGGCGAGGCCGGGAGGCGUAGCCGACGCGCAGCAGGCAGACAUUCCUGCACCGCGCACGCGGCGCUACGACCGACGGGGCGACGGAUGGGGGUGGCUCGGCGGGGUUCUGGACGUCCCCGUGAUGGAGCGCGGCCCGCGGACCAGGGAAAUCCGGUCCGCAGAAGGGCGAGGCUCCGGACGAAGCGACUGAGCGAAGCGAGUGAGCCCGAGGUCCCUAGAAAAACCCCUAGGCAGGCGCGUGCGCGCCCGUACCGCAAACCGACACAGGUGGGUGGGUAGAACAUACCGAGGCGAUCGGGUCAACCAUGGUCAAGGAACUCGGCACAAUGGCCCCGUAACUUCGGGAGAAGGGGUGCCCGCGCGUACGUGAACCGGCUCGCCCGGGGAGCGGAGGCGGGCCGCAGUGGAGAGGCCCAAGCGACUGUUUACCAAAAACACAGGACUCUGCAGAAGCCGCAAGGCGACGUAUAGGGUCUGACGCCUGCCCGGUGCCGGAAGGUCACGCGGAGGGGUUAGCCGUCAAGGCGAGGCCCCGAAGCCAAGCCCCGGUAAACGGCGGCCGUAACUAUAACGGUCCUAAGGUAGCGAAAUUCCUUGUCGGGU